Paramuricea clavata is the source of this 797-nucleotide non-coding RNA. The record is from the annotation of a GenBank genome assembly. NCBI's taxonomy places the organism in Eukaryota, Metazoa, Cnidaria, Anthozoa, Malacalcyonacea, Plexauridae.
UGGAGUGUGGAGGGUAAUUAGUAUUCCAAUACGUCAUAAUUAUAUGCAAUGACGUCACGCGGGCAGGUUUAAACAAGGACAUGUGAAACUUGCUGACUACGCAUUUUUUAACCUUGAUUUGCUAUGAAUAGCUCGAGUCCCUCACAAGGCAGAAUUGUGAUCGAAAUUAAUAUAUAGCAGAGUUAUAGCCGUAUCUUUGCUCGGAAGCGAUAAAUUUCCACGACUAUAUUGAAGGAUUUUUCAUAUGUUCCAUAGCGAGGAAUCUAUUCGUUACAAAAAUCAAGACAUAUUUUAAACAGAACUAAACAGUUGCUUAUCCCGGGUUGCCAGCGUCGUUGUUAAGGUUAAUAUUAUUAAUAUAUAGCAGAGUUAUAGCCGUAUCUUUGCUCAGAAGCGAUAAAUUUCCACGAGUAUAUUGAAGGAUUUUUCAUAUGUUCCAUAGCGAGGAAACUAUUCGUUACAAAAAUCAAGACAUAUUUUAAACAGAACUAAACAGUUGCUAAUCCCGGGUUGCGAGCGUCGUUGUUAAGGUCAAUAUUUGCAUGUUGUUCAACGUUAUUUAGCAAGUCUUCUGCAUACAUAUAUACUGUUAAGAUGACCGAGUCAGAUCAUAAGUAAGCUUAUGAAGAAUAUAAGUUAGAAUUGGAACAGUUGUAAUAUAUUUUGCGAUAAAAACAUGUACUCGUUAUAUACGUUGCUUUGUGCUAAGUCAUUAGGAGGUGUAGGUAAUUAAGGGGAUUACGGCAAUACGAAUUUGCAUGACUAAGUGUACCCCAAUGGAUAGAUAGGGAUUAUUU